UACGGGGGGGGGCAAGCGUUGUUCGGAAUUACUGGGCGUAAAGGGCUCGUAGGCGGCCAACUAAGUCAGACGUGAAAUCCCUCGGCUUAACCGGGGAACUGCGUCUGAUACUGGAUGGCUUGAGUUUUGGGAGAGGGAUGCGGAAUUCCCGGUGUAGCGGUGAAAAUGCGUAGAGAUCGGGAGGAAUACCGGUGGCGAAAAGCGGCUCUCUGGACCGAGACUGACGCUGAGGCGCGAAAAGCGUGGGGGAGCAAACAGG
RNAcentral lists this ribosomal RNA (259 nucleotides) under uncultured bacterium. RNAcentral's name for it is "partial 16S ribosomal RNA". It matches the Rfam family "Bacterial small subunit ribosomal RNA", at positions 524 to 776 of the family's 1533-position model. The record is from RNAcentral.